UAACGUUUUGAUGUAUUUUUUAAAAUAAAUUUGAGAUAUCAUUUUUAGGGCUGUUAAAAGAUUUAGAAUCGUCCAUCUUUCACUUUCAUCUAAACUCGGCUCUGAAGCAGAAGUUAGUUCCCGUGUUCUAGUGAUUUUUUUCUUUUCCAAUUAAGGUGUGUAGAUUAGUUAGUUAGUUGAUUUAACUACUUUUUGUUAAGGAAACUUUAUAACGGAAUAGUGGUAAAGUGAAAUGGCAUUUAUUAAUCUUAUUUUAUUAGUUACGUUGUCACGAUCCAGAUUUAUCCACGAGGAGCGAAAACUCUGCUUCGUGCGUGUUCGCCCCACUUAUAAAAAGCGUCCGAUAGACGCUUUUUCGUGGGAGCUAGAAGCUCUGAUUCAGAAACCCCCCAUUGUUCUGCACGCUGUGCACCGUUGGUCCGUGCCGGUCGCCAUUGCGGUAGUAAAACGGGAGUAGAGGUUUUUCCGACCUGCUGAGAUUUCGAAAGGAGGAGACAGUAGAGUUUCGGACCACGAGCCGACGCCCUAUCCUGCAACUUUAGUCCGACCCUCGACGCACGUAGACCCGGCCUCGCUACGCUACUGCUGAGCCAACCCGAACUCCCCUCAUCUGGUGACUCCGCCGGCCGUUGAACAUCGCAUGCAUCCGGCGUAUCCCUCGGCGACAAGUAACGUAACGCCUCGAGCUCCAGUAGCAUAAACCCUGCGCAGGUAUGUCGACAUACAUGGCCAUGUUACACACCACAACACACACACUGUACAUAUCACCCACCCGCAUGAAUCUUUCCGAAAAUAGAAAAUGAAUACAUAGAUGAAUUCAAGUUAA
This is a long non-coding RNA of Aedes aegypti (yellow fever mosquito), 826 nucleotides long. RefSeq lists it as uncharacterized. The record is from RefSeq and is a predicted model, not a curated record. The transcript is spliced from 2 exons. Lineage: Eukaryota; Metazoa; Arthropoda; Insecta; Diptera; Culicidae.